CCUGAUGGCUCAGAUGGUAAAGCAUCUGCCUACAAUGCAGGAGACCUGGAUUCGAUCCCUGGGUCAGGA
Molecule: transfer RNA, 69 nt
Filed under: Bos taurus (domestic cattle)
Lineage: Eukaryota; Metazoa; Chordata; Mammalia; Artiodactyla; Bovidae
Also listed under: 1 other name
Rfam family: tRNA
About the family: Transfer RNA (tRNA) molecules are approximately 80 nucleotides in length. Their secondary structure includes four short double-helical elements and three loops (D, anti-codon, and T loops).
Source: Rfam by way of RNAcentral